UUUACAAUCAAGAUGUACACUUACAUCGUCCUUAGAAACAUGACAUAUUGUGCCGAUUUUGGUCCCUUCCUUUGAAGGUGACUCUUGGCACUGCAUCCUCAAGGAGGAUCGCCAACGUGUUUCCGGUUAAGUCUUCUACCCUAUAGCGGAUUUUUCAUCAUCAAUUGUUCAACUAGGCUCAUCCAAGCUCAGUGUGAUGUCUUAGAAUUGUCGGAAAUUAAGGAGAUAGUGGUUUUAAGUGUGCCUCGCACUACCGACCCUCCACGGACAUGCCUGGUCAUACUGACUUGGAGUUACCGAAAGCUUUUGAUUUUGGAUCCCCCUACGCUAUUAAACCAAUUGCCGUCUUGUAAAAGACGUUGAAGACUUAUCAAAGCUGGAAAAUUAUCAUCAUGAUCGGAUCCUCUAAGUCCUCUGAGUUAGUUUAUGUUCAUGUCAGGGAGCUUUUGCUAACUAGUCAUGGAGUUUACGACCUUAGAACGACCGAAAGGACUUGGUUUUGAUCAUACACACGUCACUUUUGGCUAAGGCAAAAGCCUACACGCCACCUGCAAGCUUCACAGCUUCGCACAUGCCAAAUCUGCGAAAAACAGCAAUCUGUCCUUUCUGGACAGUCAACUUCGUUUGAGCUUUGUGAACAGCUCCGGACGAACCAGACAGUGAGCUUUAUAUCAUUGGAAAGCUCUAUGAGUCUAGCUUUCAGAACUUUUCACGGUUCGUCCAUAUCUAUUUUAACGAAGAAGUUAUGGCUGUUUUAAUGCGCAAAGGUUAUUCUGCGCGGAAAUUUUUAUGCACUCUCGGGAUUGCAGCUUUUCGUAGCUUCUUUCAAUCCUUCUAAAUGGUUCAAGUAGAACUAUUUACUCGCCUAUCUACUCCUUGUAGUUAUGUCUCAUAGAGACAUUGAGUGCUUCGCAGAUAGUGGAACUAUCCACAACAUUCUAAGGACCAUGUUGAGCUUUAAAGACAUUCAUGCUAAUGGUUUUCAUUUGAAAACUCAUUGUGAGA
Molecule: long non-coding RNA, 1005 nt
Filed under: Fragaria vesca (wild strawberry)
Lineage: Eukaryota; Viridiplantae; Streptophyta; Magnoliopsida; Rosales; Rosaceae
Description: long non-coding RNA (FVES_LNC005184)
Source: RNAcentral